UACGUAGGUGGCAAGCGUUGUCCGGAUUUACUGGGUGUAAAGGGCGUGUAGGCGGGAGAGCAAGUCAGAAGUGAAAUCCGUGGGCUUAACCCAUGAACUGCUUUUGAAACUGUUCUUCUUGAGUAUCGGAGAGGCAGGCGGAAUUCCUAGUGUAGCGGUGAAAUGCGUAGAUAUUAGGAGGAACACCAGUGGCGAAGGCGGCCUGCUGGACGACAACUGACGCUGAGGCGCGAAAGCGUGGGGAGCAAACAGG
Molecule: ribosomal RNA, 253 nt
Filed under: Sporobacter termitidis
Lineage: Bacteria; Bacillati; Bacillota; Clostridia; Eubacteriales; Oscillospiraceae
Description: partial 16S ribosomal RNA
Rfam family: Bacterial small subunit ribosomal RNA
Source: RNAcentral